GAAAAAUAAAAUGAAAAGUUUUGUUGAGAGAGAGAGCUCUUUGAAGCCGAUACAAGGAACGACAUAGAGGGAAGAAGCCGGCCGGAAGGGGAACGACAGAGAGAGAGAGACGAAAGAAACGUACUCACGGCGAAGAGACUCAGCAAAGAAGAAAACAGUCUCCCUUCAACCAGGAUACAAACAAAAAAGUUACUCUGCCAAGAGAAAUUCGCAGUGUUCAACAGCUUGACCUUAUUGCAUUGUAAAAUGACACAAAAUGCGUCAGUGGCAGGGAUUACAGACGAUGCUCUUUUCUAAUUGGCACUAUUGAGUGACCUAAUGUGCAGAGUCUCACAUAACUUAGUCAAAUUGUUGAUCAGAUUCAUUUGCAUGUUCCAUCUUACAUUGGUUCUUAUUGCAACAGGAUGCUACUGAAUGAUAAUUUUGGCCCAAGAGGAUGAGUUUUGGGGUGUUGAAUUCAUAUUUUGAACCUUGGGAGCAAAUCUGGAAAACCCAAAAUUUUGCUUUCACGCUCAAGCGAAGGAUUCCAGGCUCGAGCGACCACCUUUAUUUUCGCACUUCCACUCGAGCGACAAAAGGUUGGCUCGAGCGUAAAUUGCAUACUCUCAGAAGUUUGCGUGUUUGGAAGCACGCUCGAGCGACAAGACUUGCGCUCGAGCGAGGACUUGUGUCUCACACUCGAGCGAUCGUCGAGCGGAAAUUGCACGUAACCAGAAUUUUUUCACAUUUUACAGACCGCUCAAGCGAAGUGUGUGCUCGAGCGACCACUCACAUUCGAUAGGUUUGCUCAAGCGAAGAAAGCUGCACUCAAGCGAGACCCCUGUUUUCAGCAAGUCUUUGAAAAAUAUUUUCAAGUGCAAUUUUGUAACCUUAUUCCAUCCUAGGCAUUCCUAGGCCAUGAUUAAGACAUCAUAAUGGGGUUAAAGGCUAGAAACACACGAAUAAGCUUUGUUCAAUUCGAGCGUGUGUAUUCAACGUAUGUAUCUAUCAUGUU
Molecule: non-coding RNA, 994 nt
Organism: Camellia sinensis
Lineage: Eukaryota; Viridiplantae; Streptophyta; Magnoliopsida; Ericales; Theaceae
Source: RefSeq, a predicted model, not a curated record